UACGUAGGGUGCAAGCGUUGUCCGGAAUUAUUGGGCGUAAAGAGCUCGUAGGCGGCUUGUCACGUCGACUGUGAAAACCCGGGGCUCAACUCCGGGCCUGCAGUCGAUACGGGCUGGCUUGAGUGUGGUAGGGGAGACUGGAAUUCCUGGUGUAGCGGUGAAAUGCGCAGAUAUCAGGAGGAACACCGAUGGCGAAGGCAGGUCUCUGGGCCACUACUGACGCUGAGAAGCGAAAGCAUGGGGAGCGAACAGG
This 253-nucleotide ribosomal RNA is filed under the name uncultured bacterium. RNAcentral describes it as "partial 16S ribosomal RNA". It matches the Rfam family "Bacterial small subunit ribosomal RNA", at positions 524 to 776 of the family's 1533-position model. The record is from RNAcentral.